Molecule: long non-coding RNA, 320 nt
Organism: Ochotona curzoniae (black-lipped pika)
Lineage: Eukaryota; Metazoa; Chordata; Mammalia; Lagomorpha; Ochotonidae
Exons: 3
Source: RefSeq, a predicted model, not a curated record
AAGAAAGGCAUGCUGGGCAAUGUAGUUCCCAGCCCGGUAGGUGGCAGGCGUCGGCGAGAAGGCGGGUGCCCGGUUCUCUCAGGCUUUGGCACCGGAAGGGCAUAGCUACGGCUGAGAGGAGAGCCAAAGGUUUCUUGGGUGACAAGGCUGUUCCCUCUGCAGAUCUGUUUAGAUUCAGGUGGGAAGGCUCUCAAAUAGGCUGGACUCGAGUGUUUGCCCUGUCAAGGCUAUGAAGGUGACACCACAGCAAGGGAAGCCACCAGAGGUUUCUGAAGGUAGAGCUCCCAGCUUGUGGCCUGGAAAAGCAGCAGAGGAUGGCC